This 613-nucleotide ribosomal RNA is filed under the name uncultured Methanosaeta sp. Its description in RNAcentral is "bacterial SSU rRNA". It matches the Rfam family "Archaeal small subunit ribosomal RNA", at positions 83 to 700 of the family's 1478-position model. The record is from RNAcentral. Lineage: Archaea; Methanobacteriati; Methanobacteriota; Methanomicrobia; Methanotrichales; Methanotrichaceae.
CGGCUCAGUAACACGUGGAUAACCUACCCUUGAGACGGGGAUAAACCCGGGAAACUGGGUAUAAUACCCGAUAGAUCUCGACUGCUGGAAUGCAUCGAGCUUGAAAGCUCCGGCGCUCAAGGAUGGGUCUGCGGCCUAUCAGGUAGUAGUGGGUGUAGCGUACCUACUAGCCUACGACGGGUACGGGUUGUGAGAGCAAGAGCCCGGAGAUGGAUUCUGAGACACGAAUCCAGGCCCUACGGGGUGCAGCAGGCGCGAAAACUUUACAAUGCUGGAAACAGCGAUAAGGGGACCUCGAGUGCCAGGUUACAAAUCUGGCUGUCGUGAUGCCUAAAAAGCAUUGCAUAGCAAGGGCCGGGCAAGACCGGUGCCAGCCGCCGCGGUAACACCGGCGGCUCGAGUGGUAACCGUUAUUAUUGGGUCUAAAGGGUCUGUAGCCGGCCGGAUAAGUCUCUUGGGAAAUCUGGCAGCUUAACUGUCAGGCUUUCAGGAGAUACUGUCUGGCUCGAGGCCGGGAGAGGUGAGAGGUACUUCAGGGGUAGGGGUGAAAUCUUGUAAUCCUUGAAGGACCACCAGUGGCGAAGGCGUCUCACCAGAACGGACCUGACGGCAA